UCCUGGUUAGCUGAGUUGAUAGAGCGCUGCAUUAGAAAUGGAGAGGUCCCUGGUUCGAUAACAGGACCAGGCA
RNAcentral lists this transfer RNA (73 nucleotides) under Ixodes scapularis (black-legged tick). It matches the Rfam family "tRNA". Rfam says of the family: Transfer RNA (tRNA) molecules are approximately 80 nucleotides in length. Their secondary structure includes four short double-helical elements and three loops (D, anti-codon, and T loops). Lineage: Eukaryota; Metazoa; Arthropoda; Arachnida; Ixodida; Ixodidae. The record is from Rfam by way of RNAcentral.